UGCGCUGACAGCCUAAUGGAUAUCUUGUAUAAGUACCUGUGGUACAACUCCAGAGAGAUGCAUCACCAGGUUCUCAGGGCUCUCCUCCUGCUAAGGGACCAUCCCUCCAUGGCCGAAAGAAUUCAGAGCCUGACAGGAAGACUAGUGCACCUCCUGUGGGACUUUGAUAGUGACGUGGCCAGGAUGAGCAUUGCUCUCCUCAGCUAUAUUUUCUUGGAUGAAGACACCCCAAUAUCCUGGCGCAGGGCCCUGCAGCUGGCUGAGCCGCUCAUGAAACUCCUGGACAAUGAUACUUUUUCUCAGGCAGGACUGAGAGGCCAUGGAGCAGCAGUCUCUGCAGCUCCCUGCAGCUUGUUCCAAAGCUAG
Molecule: long non-coding RNA, 366 nt
Filed under: Cyanistes caeruleus (blue tit)
Lineage: Eukaryota; Metazoa; Chordata; Aves; Passeriformes; Paridae
Description: lncRNA (ENSCCEG00000004885.1)
Source: RNAcentral